This 615-nucleotide ribosomal RNA is filed under the name Enterobacter sp. Its description in RNAcentral is "bacterial SSU rRNA". It matches the Rfam family "Bacterial small subunit ribosomal RNA", at positions 103 to 714 of the family's 1533-position model. Lineage: Bacteria; Pseudomonadati; Pseudomonadota; Gammaproteobacteria; Enterobacterales; Enterobacteriaceae. The record is from RNAcentral.
CGGGUGAGUAAUGUCUGGGAAACUGCCUGAUGGAGGGGGAUAACUACUGGAAACGGUAGCUAAUACCGCAUAACGUCGCAAGACCAAAGAGGGGGACCUUCGGGCCUCUUGCCAUCAGAUGUGCCCAGAUGGGAUUAGCUAGUAGGUGGGGUAACGGCUCACCUAGGCGACGAUCCCUAGCUGGUCUGAGAGGAUGACCAGCCACACUGGAACUGAGACACGGUCCAGACUCCUACGGGAGGCAGCAGUGGGGAAUAUUGCACAAUGGGCGCAAGCCUGAUGCAGCCAUGCCGCGUGUAUGAAGAAGGCCUUCGGGUUGUAAAGUACUUUCAGCGGGGAGGAAGGUGUUGUGGUUAAUAACCACAGCAAUUGACGUUACCCGCAGAAGAAGCACCGGCUAACUCCGUGCCAGCAGCCGCGGUAAUACGGAGGGUGCAAGCGUUAAUCGGAAUUACUGGGCGUAAAGCGCACGCAGGCGGUCUGUCAAGUCGGAUGUGAAAUCCCCGGGCUCAACCUGGGAACUGCAUUCGAAACUGGCAGGCUGGAGUCUUGUAGAGGGGGGUAGAAUUCCAGGUGUAGCGGUGAAAUGCGUAGAGAUCUGGAGGAAUACCGGUG